RNAcentral lists this ribosomal RNA (526 nucleotides) under uncultured bacterium. Its description in RNAcentral is "bacterial SSU rRNA". It matches the Rfam family "Bacterial small subunit ribosomal RNA", at positions 8 to 524 of the family's 1533-position model. The record is from RNAcentral.
AGAGUUUGAUCAUGGCUCAGGAUGAACGCUGGCUGUGUGCCUAAUACAUGCAUGUUAAAAAAUCUGUGCUUGCACUUUAAGACUUACUAGCGAAUGGGUGAAUAACACGUACUUAACCUACCCCCAAGUUUGGGAUAACGUUUGAAACGAACGCUAAUACCGAAUACGUAUUUUUAUCGCAUGAUAGAAAUAUAGAAGGAGCUUAGGCUUCGCUAGGGGAUGGGAGUGCGCUACAUUAGUUAGUUGGUAGGGUAAUGGCCUACCAAGACUAUGAUGUAUAGCGGGGCCGAGAGGCUGAUCCGCCACACUGGGACUGAGAUACGGCCCAGACUCCUACGGGAGGCAGCAGUAGGGAAUUUUCCACAAUGAACGAAAGUUUGAUGGAGCGACACAGCGUGCAGGAUGAAGGUCUUCGGAUCGUAAACUGCUGUUAUAAGGGAAGAAAAACUUUAGUAGGUAAUGACUAGAACUUGACGGUACCUUAUCAGAAAGCGACGGCUAACUAUGGGCCAGCAGCCGCGGUAAU